RNAcentral lists this long non-coding RNA (2787 nucleotides) under Canis lupus familiaris (dog). RNAcentral's name for it is "lncRNA (ENSCAFG00000059130.1)". Lineage: Eukaryota; Metazoa; Chordata; Mammalia; Carnivora; Canidae. The record is from RNAcentral.
UUUUUUCUUUUUAAGAAUUAUUUUAUUUAUUUGAGAGAGAGAGAGAGAGCGCACAUACAAGUGGGGAGAGAGAAAAGGAGAGGGAGAAAGAGAAUCCUUAAGCUGACUACCUCCUAGGCAUGGAGCCUGAUGUGGAGCUCAAUCCCAGGACAUAAGAUCAUGACCUGAGCCAAAAUCAAGAGUUGACUGCUUAAUCAACUGAGCUACCGAGGUGCCCCAAGAACCUGGCAUUUCUUAAUCUUUGACACUGAAAAUAUUCUAUUGUUUUCAAAGCUCAAUAAGACCUUCUUCCAAAACAUUUCAAAAGUUGGUUCUACACUUUACAUAAUUUACUAAUUUGUAUGUGACGCUUUUAUAGUUUGCAGAUUUUCAAAUAUUUUUCUACAACUAUCCAUGACAGAAGGAUGUCCAUGAAUGGAAUACCCUCCCGUGCAUAGCACCAGCAACAUGCGUCGUACAUCAGAGACAGACUAUGGCUUCCCAUACUUCACAGUGCUGUACUUAAAUAACUACAUGUAAUUUCACACUAUUAUAGGAUUGACCAUGAAUCUACUCCAAUUUAAUUUUGAAAAGAAAUUACUCACAGACUAUAUUAUUUUGACCAUUACUAGAAACAUGUUACUUGCUCCAAACCUCUUAACUAAUAGCAAUAUAUGUGACAUGGCAUUACUUUUGGACUGCUGGAGAAUCACUAUUCUACACUAUUUCCUUAUUUCAUGAAAAUUGUCUAACUUAUCUGCAUAAUGCUGUUCAUAAUGUUCUCUUAUCCUCUUAAUGUCUGUGGGAUCUAUUCUGCCUUUCAUUCCUAUCAUUGAAAAUUUAUGUCAUCUCCUUCUUUCUUUGAUUAGUCUGGCUAAUAAUAUUGUCCUUGAUCAAUUUCUUUUUUUUUUUUAACAGCUCUUGGUUUCAUUGAUUUAUCUAUUAUUUAUUUGUUUGUUCACUGAUUUUUACUCUUAUUUUUAUUUUUUCCUUCUUUCUCCUCAUGCUGAAUUUCAUUUGUUCUUUUUCUAGCUUUUUAAGAUUGAAACUUACAUAGUUACUUUUAGGUCUUUCUACAUUCUGACUACAAGCAUUUGCAUCCUCUAAAUUCCUUCUAAUCACUUCUUUAUCUGCAUCCUACAAAUUUUGAUAUGUUGCGUUUUCAUUAUCAUUCACUUCCAAAGUAAAUUUUCCCAUGGGAAAGUUAGGCCCAUGGAUUAUUUAGAAUGUGUUGUUCAGUUAUCAAAUAUUUAGGGAUUCACAGGUAUCUGUUAUUUAUUUUUAGUUGAUUUCCACAGUAGUAAGAGAAUAUAGUUUGCAUGACUGUAAUUCUUUUAAGUUUAUGAGACUAGCUUUGUGGCCCGGACUGUAGUCUAUCCUGGUGAAUGUUCCAUAUGUUCUUGAAAAGAAUAUAUCCUACCGUUGUUGGGUGGAGUUCUUUAUAAAUGUCAAUUAGGUCAAAUGUUUAUAUGGUUAUUUCAAGCCAUCCAUACUCUACUGAUUUUCUAUCUACCUGUUCUGUCAAUUACUAGGAAUGUUGAAAUCCUCAAAUAUAAUUGUAGAUGCGUCUAUUUCUCCUUUUAAAGCUCUUAGGUUUUUUUUUUUUUUAGCUUAUUUUGAAGCUCUGUUCCUGGGUAUAUAAACAUGUAGGAUUGUUACAUAUGCUUGAUGAAGUUUUAUCAUUAUGAAAUGUGCCUCUUUAUCCCUACUAAUAUUCCUUACUCUGAAGUCUACUUUGUAUGAUGUUAAUAUUGCCAAUGGAGCUCUUUUUAUCAGAUUUAUUAAGAUAUAAUUUACAUACAAUAAAAUUCACCAAUUUUAAGUGUAGAAAUUGAUAAGUUCUGAGAAUAUAUGGGGUUGUGUAAUCAUCACUGUUAUGAUGUAGAACAUUUGCAUCACUCCAACAAGUUACCUUCUGUCCCUUUGUGGUCAGUCUCUUCCCUCCACUCCUGACAUCUGAUAUGCUUUCUUACUCUAUAGUUUAUCCUUUUUUCAAAAUAUUAUAUAAAUGGGAUCACAACAUGUAGCAUUCGGUGUGUGGGCUUCUUUGAUUUAGCAAAACGCAUUUUCAUCCACUGUUGUUAGUUUGUUCUUUGUUAUUCCUUAGUAGCGUUCCAUUGUGUGGACAGACCACAUUUUGUUUACCCCUUGCCAGCAGAAGAGCAGUUGGGUUUCUUUCAAUUUGGGGCCAUUCAAAUUUGGGUGCAUUUUUUAAAAAUGGAAAUGUCUCUUUAUUUGACUUAGAUAAAUAUCUAGGUUUUCUACUGCUAGACCACGGUAAGAACAGUAUCUGAAACCGAGGAAUGGUGGUCUUAAGCUAUCUUUCUUUACUCAGCCCACUUUUAAUUAAUGCUAGAAUCAGUCCCCAAAGUUAGAAAAUCAUGACUUCAUAACGAACACUCUAACAGGUAAAAGCAGUACACCACAAAACCUUGAUACCUAUAGGCAGACAUUUUAAGCCCUUAAGGUCCAAUAGAGGCCACCUGUAGCCAGAAAAAAGAAUGUCAAGAAAAUUCACAGCUUAAGUUCUGAUCUUGAUUCUACUCUGAGAAUGUCAAAGUUUUUCAAGAUUACAAGAAGUAAGUCUUCGAAAAGGUGAACACGUGAAACUAUUAACCCUGUUUAGAAAUUCAUGUAUGCAACUGAAAUAUACCCAAGACAUUCAAACAUUAUAUUUAACUGGUAGACGUUACUUUUCAAAGACACAAAGAGCUUUCCCUACACACCCAAAUAAUCACUGUGAAUAUAAUCUGGGCCUUGACUGAUUGAUGGCUUUGUUCAUUAUUCGCGCUUGCGGCCGACCUCUGC